UCUGCAUUUAGUUUGAACUCCUUUUUGGUC
This 30-nucleotide non-coding RNA is filed under the name Rattus norvegicus (Norway rat). Lineage: Eukaryota; Metazoa; Chordata; Mammalia; Rodentia; Muridae. The record is from RNAcentral.